Molecule: non-coding RNA, 202 nt
Filed under: Saccharicrinis fermentans
Lineage: Bacteria; Pseudomonadati; Bacteroidota; Bacteroidia; Marinilabiliales; Marinilabiliaceae
Also listed under: 1 other name
Source: RNAcentral
ACAAAAUGGAGGUAGUGUGGUAUUGCACAUAGCAUUAUAAAAGGGAAUCCUGUAAGCUUCAGUUUAGGAGGGAGUCAGGAACUGUGCCCGCAGCCGUAUUCUGCCCAGACUAUGGGUGAGCGUUCCAUCACUGUCUGCCAAUAGGCAGAUGGAAGAUGCUCCAAAAGAAAGUCGGAAAACCUGCCACAAAAAUAAUUAUAAA